Cicer arietinum (chickpea) is the source of this 125-nucleotide non-coding RNA. NCBI's taxonomy places the organism in Eukaryota, Viridiplantae, Streptophyta, Magnoliopsida, Fabales, Fabaceae. The record is from Rfam.
AGGCAGCCUCCUUGAUACAAUUAUAUAUCAUGUGAGGUGUUUAACUGCUCGUAAAUCAAAUGCUUUUGCUCUUCAGACUUGCUGAGAUUUUUCUUUGAAGCUGGUCUAGUAAGCUCAAGUAUAAU